This 72-nucleotide transfer RNA is filed under the name Pangasianodon gigas (Mekong giant catfish). Its description in RNAcentral is "tRNA-Glu". It matches the Rfam family "tRNA". Rfam says of the family: Transfer RNA (tRNA) molecules are approximately 80 nucleotides in length. Their secondary structure includes four short double-helical elements and three loops (D, anti-codon, and T loops). The record is from RNAcentral. Lineage: Eukaryota; Metazoa; Chordata; Actinopteri; Siluriformes; Pangasiidae.
UUCCUGGAGGACUAGUGGUUAGGCCACAGCGCCCUCACCGCUGUGUCCUGGGCUCGAUUCCUGGCCAGGGAA